GACGAACGCUGGCGGCGUGCUUAACACAUGCAAGUCGAACGGAAAGGCCCUGCUUUUGUGGGGUGCUCGAGUGGCGAACGGGUGAGUAACACGUGAGUAACCUGCCCUUGACUUUGGGAUAACUUCAGGGAACUGGGGCUAAUACCGGAUAGGAGCUCCUGCUGCAUGGUGGGGGUUGGAAAGUUUCGGCGGUUGGGGAUGGACUCGCGGCUUAUCAGCUUGUUGGUGGGGUAGUGGCUUACCAAGGCUUUGACGGGUAGCCGGCCUGAGAGGGUGACCGGCCACAUUGGGACUGAGAUACGGCCCAGACUCCUACGGGAGGCAGCAGUGGGGAAUAUUGCACAAUGGGCGGAAGCCUGAUGCAGCAACGCCGCGUGCGGGAUGACGGCCUUCGGGUUGUAAACCGCUUUCGCCUGUGACGAAGCGUGAGUGACGGUAAUGGGUAAAGAAGCACCGGCUAACUACGUGCCAGCAGCCGCGGUGAUACGUAGGGUGCGAGCGUUGUCCGGAUUUAUUGGGCGUAAAGGGCUCGUAGGUGGUUGAUCGCGUCGGAAGUGUAAUCUUGGGGCUUAACCCUGAGCGUGCUUUCGAUACGGGUUGACUUGAGGAAGGUAGGGGAGAAUGGAAUUCCUGGUGGAGCGGUGGAAUGCGCAGAUAUCAGGAGGAACACCAGUGGCGAAGGCGGUUCUCUGGGCCUUUCCUGACGCUGAGGAGCGAAAGCGUGGGGAGCGAACAGGCUUAGAUACCCUGGUAGUCCACGCUGUAAACGGUGGGUACUAGGUGUGGGGUCCAUUCCACGGGUUCCGUGCCGUAGCUAACGCUUUAAGUACCCCGCCUGGGGAGUACGGCCGCAAGGCUAAAACUCAAAGGAAUUGACGGGGCCCCGCACAAGCGGCGGAGCAUGCGGAUUAAUUCGAUGCAACGCGUAGAACCUUACCUGGGUUUGACAUGGAUCGGGAGCGCUCAGAGAUGGGUGUGCCUCUUUUGGGGUCGGUUCACAGGUGGUGCAUGCCUGUCGUCAGCUCGUGUCGUGAGAUGUUGGGUUAAGUCCCGCAACGAGCGCAACCCUUGUUCACUGUUGCCAGCACGUUAUGGUGGGGACUCAGUGGAGACCGCCGGGGUCAACUCGGAGGAAGGUGGGGAUGACGUCAAGUCAUCAUGCCCCUUAUGUCCAGGGCUUCACGCAUGCUACAAUGACUGGUACAGAGAGUGGCGAGCCUGUGAGGGUGAGCGAAUCUCGGAAAGCCGGUCUCAGUUCGGAUUGGGGUCUGCAACUCGACCUCAUGAAGUCGGAGUCGCUAGUAAUCGCAAAUCAGCAACGCUGCGGUGAAUACGUUCCCGGG
Molecule: ribosomal RNA, 1343 nt
Filed under: uncultured bacterium
Lineage: Bacteria
Description: 16S ribosomal RNA
Rfam family: Bacterial small subunit ribosomal RNA
Source: RNAcentral